AUUUGGAAGCACCGCAACGCUUGCAUUUUUGAUGGAGCGACACCUUCGAUCAACUUCACCUCCGAUACCAUCAAGGACGAGGCACGACUAUGGGCCAAGGCGGGCGCCAUUGGACUACAAAACAUUAUCCCCGGUGCUUAG
RNAcentral lists this ribosomal RNA (141 nucleotides) under Triticum aestivum (bread wheat). Its description in RNAcentral is "partial small subunit ribosomal RNA". The record is from RNAcentral. Lineage: Eukaryota; Viridiplantae; Streptophyta; Magnoliopsida; Poales; Poaceae.